RNAcentral lists this ribosomal RNA (629 nucleotides) under uncultured Russulaceae. RNAcentral describes it as "LSU rRNA". It matches the Rfam family "Eukaryotic large subunit ribosomal RNA", at positions 47 to 649 of the family's 3401-position model. Lineage: Eukaryota; Fungi; Basidiomycota; Agaricomycetes; Russulales; Russulaceae. The record is from RNAcentral.
UAAGCGGAGGAAAAGAAACUAACAAGGAUUCCCCUAGUAACUGCGAGUGAAGCGGGAAAAGCUCAAAUUUAAANUCUGGUGGUCUUUGGCCGUNCGAGUUGUAAUUUAGAGAAGCGUCUUCCGCGCUGGACCGUGCACAAGUCUCCUGGAACGGAGCGUCGUAGAGGGUGAGAAUCCCGUCUUUGGCAUGGACACACCAGGGCUUUUGCGAUGCGCUCUCGAAGAGUCGAGUUGUUUGGGAAUGCAGCUCAAAAUGGGUGGUGAACUCCAUCUAAAGCUAAAUAUUGGCGAGAGACCGAUAGCGAACAAGUACCGUGAGGGAAAGAUGAAAAGCACUUUGGAAAGAGAGUGAAACAGUACGUGAAAUUGUUGAAAGGGAAACGCUUGAAGUCAGUCGCGUCGUCCGAGACUCAGCCUCGCCUCGGCUUGGCGUACUUCUCGGCCCGACGGGUCAGCAUCAAUUUCGCCUCUCGGAUAAUGGCGAGGGAAAAGUGACACCUUUACGGUGUGUUAUAGUCUCUCGUCGCAUGCGAGGGUCGGGAUUGAGGAACUCAGCACGCGCCCUCGGGCGUCGGGGCUUUCGCCCACGAUACGUGCUUAGGAUGUUGGCGUAAUGGCUUUAAACGACC